GGACCCGCACAAGUAGUGGAGCAUGUGGUUUAAUUCGAUGAUCGCGAGGAACCUUACCAGGGCUUAAAUGUAGGUUGCAUGAUCUAGAGAUAGAUCUUUCUUCGGACUACCUACAAGGUGCUGCAUGGUUGUCGUCAGCUCGUGCCGUGAGGUGUCAGGUUAAGUCCUAUAACGAGCGCAACCCCUGUCGUUAGUUACCAGCAAUUAAAGUUGGGUACUCUAGCGAGACUGCCGGUGCAAACCGUGAGGAAGGUGGGGAUGACGUCAAAUCAUCACGGCCCUUACGUCCUGGCUACACACGUGCUACAAUGGCCGGUACAGAGAGCAGCCACUACGCGAGUAGGAGCGAA
Molecule: ribosomal RNA, 350 nt
Filed under: uncultured bacterium
Lineage: Bacteria
Description: bacterial SSU rRNA
Rfam family: Bacterial small subunit ribosomal RNA
Source: RNAcentral